Molecule: ribosomal RNA, 1459 nt
Filed under: uncultured organism
Description: SSU rRNA
Rfam family: Bacterial small subunit ribosomal RNA
Source: RNAcentral
GAUGAACGCUAGCUACAGGCUUAACACAUGCAAGUCGAGGGGCAGCAUUUUAGUUUGCUUGCAAACUGAAGAUGGCGACCGGCGCACGGGUGAGUAACACGUAUCCAACCUGCCGAUAACUCCGGAAUAGCCUUUCGAAAGAAAGAUUAAUACCGGAUAGCAUACGAAUAUCGCAUGAUAUUUUUAUUAAAGAAUUUCGGUUAUCGAUGGGGAUGCGUUUCAUUAGUUUGUUGGCGGGGUAACGGCCCACCAAGACAACGAUGGAUAGGGGUUCUGAGAGGAAGGUCCCCCACAUUGGAACUGAGACACGGUCCAAACUCCUACGGGAGGCAGCAGUGAGGAAUAUUGGUCAAUGGGCGAGAGCCUGAACCAGCCAAGUAGCGUGAAGGAUGAAGGCUCUAUGGGUCGUAAACUUCUUUUAUAUGGGAAUAAAGUUUUCCACGUGUGGAAUUUUGUAUGUACCAUAUGAAUAAGGAUCGGCUAACUCCGUGCCAGCAGCCGCGGUAAUACGGAGGAUCCGAGCGUUAUCCGGAUUUAUUGGGUUUAAAGGGAGCGUAGGUGGAUUGUUAAGUCAGUUGUGAAAGUUUGCGGCUCAACCGUAAAAUUGCAGUUGAAACUGGCAGUCUUGAGUACAGUAGAGGUGGGCGGAAUUCGUGGUGUAGCGGUGAAAUGCUUAGAUAUCACGAAGAACUCCGAUUGCGAAGGCAGCUCACUAGACUGUCACUGACACUGAUGCUCGAAAGUGUGGGUAUCAAACAGGAUUAGAUACCCUGGUAGUCCACACAGUAAACGAUGAAUACUCGCUGUUUGCGAUAUACAGUAAGCGGCCAAGCGAAAGCAUUAAGUAUUCCACCUGGGGAGUACGCCGGCAACGGUGAAACUCAAAGGAAUUGACGGGGGCCCGCACAAGCGGAGGAACAUGUGGUUUAAUUCGAUGAUACGCGAGGAACCUUACCCGGGCUUAAAUUGCAACAGAAUAUAUUGGAAACAGUAUAGCCGUAAGGCUGUUGUGAAGGUGCUGCAUGGUUGUCGUCAGCUCGUGCCGUGAGGUGUCGGCUUAAGUGCCAUAACGAGCGCAACCCUUAUCUUUAGUUACUAACAGGUGAUGCUGAGGACUCUAGAGAGACUGCCGUCGUAAGAUGUGAGGAAGGUGGGGAUGACGUCAAAUCAGCACGGCCCUUACGUCCGGGGCUACACACGUGUUACAAUGGGGGGUACAGAAGGCGGCUACCUGGUGACAGGAUGCUAAUCCCAAAAACCUCUCUCAGUUCGGAUCGAAGUCUGCAACCCGACUUCGUGAAGCUGGAUUCGCUAGUAAUCGCGCAUCAGCCAUGGCGCGGUGAAUACGUUCCCGGGCCUUGUACACACCGCCCGUCAAGCCAUGAAAGCCGGGGGUACCUGAAGUACGUAACCGCAAGGAGCGUCCUAGGGUAAAACUGGUAAUUGGGGCUAAGUCGUA